This 253-nucleotide ribosomal RNA is filed under the name uncultured bacterium. RNAcentral's name for it is "partial 16S ribosomal RNA". It matches the Rfam family "Bacterial small subunit ribosomal RNA", at positions 524 to 776 of the family's 1533-position model. The record is from RNAcentral.
UACGUAGGGUCCAAGCGUUGUUCGGAUUUACUGGGCGUAAAGGGCGCGUAGGCGGCGUGGUAAGUCACUUGUGAAAUCUCUGAGCUUAACUCAGAACGGCCAAGUGAUACUGCUGUGCUAGAGUGCAGAAGGGGCAAUCGGAAUUCUUGGUGUAGCGGUGAAAUGCGUAGAUAUCAAGAGGAACACCUGAGGUGAAGACGGGUUGCUGGGCUGACACUGACGCUGAUGCGCGAAAGCCAGGGGAGCAAACGGG